Molecule: ribosomal RNA, 478 nt
Filed under: uncultured Lactobacillus sp.
Lineage: Bacteria; Bacillati; Bacillota; Bacilli; Lactobacillales; Lactobacillaceae
Description: bacterial SSU rRNA
Rfam family: Bacterial small subunit ribosomal RNA
Source: RNAcentral
GUGCCAGCAGCCGCCGUAAUACGUAGGUGGCAAGCGUUGUCCGGAUUUAUUGGGCGUAAAGCGAGCGCAGGCGGUUUUUUAGGUCUGAUGUGAAAGCCUUCGGCUUAACCGGAGAAGGGCAUCGGAAACCGGGAGACUUGAGUGCAGAAGAGGACAGUGGAACUCCAUGUGUAGCGGUGAAAUGCGUAGAUAUAUGGAAGAACACCAGUGGCGAAAGCGGCUGUCUGGUCUGUAACUGACGCUGAGGCUCGAAAGCAUGGGUAGCGAACAGGAUUAGAUACCCUGGUAGUCCAUGCCGUAAACGAUGAGUGCUAAGUGUUGGAGGGUUUCCGCCCUUCAGUGCUGCAGCUAACGCAUUAAGCACUCCGCCUGGGGAGUACGACCGCAAGGUUGAAACUCAAAGGAAUUGACGGGGCCCGCACAAGCGGUGGAGCAUGUGGUUUAAUUCGAUGCUACGCGAAGAACCUUACCAGGUCUU